AUUGAUUUUAUGCUUGCAUAAAUGAUUUUUGGAUUCGGAGCGAGUGGCGAACUGGUGAGUAACACGUGGGUAACCUGCCCCGAAGCGGGGGAUAACAUUUGGAAACAAGUGCUAAUACCGCAUAAUUAGUUGGAACCGCAUGGUUCCAACUUGAAAGAUGGCUCUGCUAUCACUUUGGGAUGGACCCGCGCCGUAUUAGUUAGUUGGUGAGAUAAAAGCCCACCAAGACGAUGAUACGUAGCCGACCUGAGAGGGUAAUCGGCCACAUUGGGACUGAGACACGGCCCAGACUCCUACGGGAGGCAGCAGUAGGGAAUCUUCCACAAUGGACGAAAGUCUGAUGGAGCAACGCCGCGUGAGUGAUGAAGGUUUUCGGAUCGUAAAACUCUGUUGUUAAAGAAGAACAAGUGUUAGAGUAACUGUUAACACUUUGACGGUAUUUAACCAGAAAGCCACGGCUAACUACGUGCCAGCAGCCGCGGUAAUACGUAGGUGGCAAGCGUUGUCCGGAUUUAUUGGGCGUAAAGCGAGCGCAGGCGGUUUCGUAAGUCUGCUGUGAAAGCCCUCAGCUCAACUGAGGAAGUGCAGUGGAAACUACAAAACUUGAGUACAGAAGAGGAAAGUGGAACUCCAUGUGUAGCGGUGAAAUGCGUAGAUAUAUGGAAGAACACCAGUGGCGAAGGCGGCUUUCUGGUCUGUUACUGACGCUGAGGCUCGAAAGCAUGGGUAGCGAACAGGAUUAGAUACCCUGGUAGUCCAUGCCGUAAACGAUGAAUACUAGGCGUUGGAGGGUUUCCGCCCUUCAGUGCCGCAGCUAACGCAUUAAGUAUUCCGCCUGGGGAGUACGACCGCAAGGUUGAAACUCAAAGGAAUUGACGGGGGCCCGCACAAGUGGUGGAGCAUGUGGUUUAAUUUGAUGCUACGCGAAGAACCUUACCAGCUCUUGACAUCUUCUGCCAACCCAAGAGAUUGGGCGUUCCCUUCGGGGACAGAAUGACAGGUGGUGCAUGGUUGUCGUCAGCUCGUGUCGUGAGAUGUUGGGUUAAGUCCCGCAACGAGCGCAACCCUUAUUAUUAGUUGCCAGCAUUUAGUUGGGCACUCUAGUGAGACUGCCGGUGAUAAA
RNAcentral lists this ribosomal RNA (1123 nucleotides) under uncultured bacterium. Its description in RNAcentral is "bacterial SSU rRNA". It matches the Rfam family "Bacterial small subunit ribosomal RNA", at positions 47 to 1162 of the family's 1533-position model. The record is from RNAcentral.